UACGUAGGGGUCUAGCGUUGUCCGGAUUUAUUGGGCGUAAAGAGCUCGUAGGCGGCUUGUUGCGUCGACCGUGAAAACCCGGGGCUCAACUUCGGGCUUGCGGUCGAUACGGGCGGGCUAGAGUUCGGUAGGGGAGACUGGAAUUCCUGGUGUAGCGGUGAAAUGCGCAGAUAUCAGGAGGAACACCGGUGGCGAAGGCGGGUCUCUGGGCCGAUACUGACGCUGAGGAGCGAAAGCGUGGGGAGCGAACAGG
RNAcentral lists this ribosomal RNA (253 nucleotides) under uncultured bacterium. Its description in RNAcentral is "partial 16S ribosomal RNA". It matches the Rfam family "Bacterial small subunit ribosomal RNA", at positions 524 to 776 of the family's 1533-position model. The record is from RNAcentral.